UACGUAGGGGGCAAGCGUCAUCCGGAAUUACUGGGUGUAAAGGGUGAGUAGGCAGCAUGGUAAGCCAGAUGUGAAAGCCUUGGGCUUAACCCGAGGAUUGCAUUUGGAACUAUCAAGCUAGAGUACAGGAGAGGAAAGCGGAAUUCCUAGUGUAGCGGUGAAAUGCGUAGAUAUUAGGAAGAACACCAGUGGCGAAGGCGGCUUUCUGGACUGAAACUGACGCUGAGGCACGAAAGCGUGGGGAGCGAACAGG
RNAcentral lists this ribosomal RNA (253 nucleotides) under uncultured bacterium. Its description in RNAcentral is "partial 16S ribosomal RNA". It matches the Rfam family "Bacterial small subunit ribosomal RNA", at positions 524 to 776 of the family's 1533-position model. The record is from RNAcentral.